Molecule: transfer RNA, 71 nt
Filed under: Tupanvirus deep ocean
Lineage: Varidnaviria; Bamfordvirae; Nucleocytoviricota; Megaviricetes; Imitervirales; Mimiviridae
Also listed under: 1 other name
Description: tRNA-Ala
Rfam family: tRNA
About the family: Transfer RNA (tRNA) molecules are approximately 80 nucleotides in length.
Source: RNAcentral
GGGCCAUUAGUUUAAUGGGAGAACACUGUGUUCGCAACACAGGAGAGGGAGUUCGAUUCUCUCAUGGUCCA